UUGGGGAUAUUGCACAAUGGGGGGAAACCCUGAUGCAGCAAUGCCGCGUGAGGGAAGACGGUCUUCGGAUUGUAAACCUAAGUUGUCAGGGACGAAAGAAAUGACGGUACCUGAAGAGAAAGCUCCGGCUAACUACGUGCCAGCAGCCGCGGUAAUACGUAGGGAGCGAGCGUUGUCCGGAUUUACUGGGUGUAAAGGGUGCGUAGGCGGGAUGGCAAGUCAGAUGUGAAAAUACCGGGGCUUAACUCCGGGGCUGCAUUUGAAACUGUCGUUCUUGAGUGGAGUAGAGGCAGGCGGAAUUCCGAGUGUAGCGGUGAAAUGCGUAGAUAUUCGGAGGAACACCAGCGGCGAAGGCGGCCUGCUGGACAUUAACUGACGCUGAGGAGCGAAAGCGUGGGGAGC
This 402-nucleotide ribosomal RNA is filed under the name uncultured Clostridium sp. RNAcentral's name for it is "bacterial SSU rRNA". It matches the Rfam family "Bacterial small subunit ribosomal RNA", at positions 355 to 769 of the family's 1533-position model. Lineage: Bacteria; Bacillati; Bacillota; Clostridia; Eubacteriales; Clostridiaceae. The record is from RNAcentral.